This 406-nucleotide ribosomal RNA is filed under the name uncultured bacterium. RNAcentral describes it as "partial 16S ribosomal RNA". It matches the Rfam family "Bacterial small subunit ribosomal RNA", at positions 29 to 526 of the family's 1533-position model. The record is from RNAcentral.
AUUGAACGCUGGCGGCAGGCCUAACACAUGCAAGUCGAACGAGCGGUGGACGGGUGAGAAAAGUCUGGGAAAAUGCCCGAUGGAGGGGGAUAACUACUGGAAACGGGAGCUAAUACAGCAUAACACCAGAUGUGCGCAGAGGGGAUUAGCGAGUAGGUGGGGGAACGGCUCACCUAGGCGACGCUCCCUAGCUGGUCUGAGAGGAUGACCAGCCACACUGGGACUGAGACACGGUCCAGACUCCUACGGGAGGCAGCAGUGGGGAAUAUUGCACAAUGGGCGCAAGCCUGAUGCAGCCAUGCCGCGUGUGUGAAGAAGGCCUUCGGGUUGUAAAGCACUUUCAGCGGGGAGGCGUUACCCGCAGAAGAAGCACCGGCUAACUCCGUGCCAGCAGCCGCGGUAAUAC